RNAcentral lists this transfer RNA (66 nucleotides) under Morishitium polonicum. RNAcentral describes it as "tRNA-Gly". The record is from RNAcentral. Lineage: Eukaryota; Metazoa; Platyhelminthes; Trematoda; Plagiorchiida; Cyclocoelidae.
AUAGUGGUCGUAUAAGUUAAAUAUGUCGUCUUUCCAAGUCGAAGAUCUACGUGUGUAGUUGCUAUA